AAAAUUAAGAGUGAGAACUGAGAAAAAGCCAUUGGAUUUGAUGGUUAAGGAAAGUUGGGCCGAUUUCCACCUAUGAUGCAUCAUCACCAGGCACCCUCAGAUGGCCAGACUCCUGGGGCUCGUUUCCAGAGGUCUCACCUUGCAGAGGCAUUUGCAAAGGCCAAAGGAUCAGGUGGAGGCGCUGGAGGAGGAAGUAGUGGAAGAGGCCUGAUGGGGCAGAUUAUUCCAAUCUACGGCUUUGGGAUUUUUUUAUAUAUACUGUACAUUCUAUUUAAGCUCUCAAAGGGGAAAACAACUGCAGAAGAUGGGAAAUGUUCCACUGCCACGCCUGGAAACACCCACAGGAAAAUUACCAGUUUUGAGCUUGCUCAACUGCAAGAAAAACUGAAGGAGACAGAAGCAGCCAUGGAAAAAUUAAUCAACAGAGUGGGACCUAAUGGUGAGAGAGCACAGACUGUGACUUCUGACCAAGAGAAACAGUUGCUGCAUCAGCUCCGAGAAAUCACCAGGGUCAUGAAAGAAGGAAAAUUCAUUGACAGAUUUUCUCCAGAGAAAGAAGCCGAGGAGGCCCCUUACAUGGAGGACUGGGAAGGUUACCCUGAAGAGACUUACCCAAUUUAUGACCUUUCAGACUGUAUCAAGCGUAGGCAAAAAACAAUCUUGGUGGAUUACCCUGACCCAAAAGAGCUUUCUGCUGAAGAAAUAGCUGAAAGAAUCGGAGUGAUAGAAGAGGAAGAAUCAGACCAUUUGGGUUGGGAAGGUCUGCCCACUGACCCCAGAGCCCAUGAAGAUAAUUCUGUUACCUCGUGUGAUCCAAAGCCAGAAACAUGUUCCUGCUGUUUUCAUGAAGAUGAGGAUCCUGCUGUCUUGGCAGAGAAUGCUGGAUUCAAUGCAGAUAGCUACCCUGAGCAAGAGGAAAUCACCAAAGAAGAAUGGCCCCAAGACUUUAGAGAUGAAGGGCUGGGCAUCAGCACCGAUCAAGCAUAUACAGGCAGCAUACUGAGGAGGCGUAACCCCCAGGGUUUAGAGUGAAAACAGCCAGUUUGAAGUAUCCAUUACUCAAGUCCCAAGAUGGGACCACUCAGGGGCAAAGGUCUGACUCUUCCUGGUAGGUGUAACAGAUAGCUUGCCUGUGAUUGAACAUCAGCUUACAGAUGAUGAGGACUUAAGGUUGCAAGAAUGAAGAUUUCAGACUCCAGGAUGCCUUAUCUUUGGCCCUUGAGCAGAAUAUCCUGUAUACGCUAUUUCCCGCCAGAGGCAGAGGCCACAGGAGAUAGGCCAUGUUCAGCGGCGCCACCCUGGCCCCCUGCUGUGGCUGCUGCCUUGGUUCUCGCAGCUGAAGCUGGUGCUGUCGGGCGUGUGGCUCCCAGCUGUACACUGGCGAGUGAGUCGGCCUCUUGAACUGCUCAGAAGACAACCCCAGACAGAGAGAAACAGGUGCUGGGUGAGACCAGAGCUCCCAUCUGAACACAGUACCCAGCACAGCAUUUUCAGCCAUACCCUGAGUCCCACCAGGGCCCCUGUACCCCUUCCACAGCCCAUAGAAUCAGGCCCACUCAUCUCUACUAAGCAAAGAUCCCAGGGCAGGCCCAGCUGGGAGGAGGCAGCGUCCCCAACCCAGGUGUGAUCAAGUCAACAGCCAGAUCAAGACAUACGAUCAGCCAAGAAGCUGAGCAAUCAAAAUUCUGGGCUAUCAAACUGUAAGCCUGGACAGGGGCAGGGAGAAUGUCCAAGGAUAUGGCCAUUGAAGAUGGUGAAGAAAGAGAGGCAGUGUCUUCUGGAAGAGACCACAACCAGGGCACGCACUCCAGGGAGUCCAUGGUGGGGCUUUUCGGCGAUGAGCACAUGGGAGGCUGGGGUGUGGGAGUGCCCAGAACAGCAACUCUGGGAGACAAGGAGCUACACACACCAACAGGUCUCAGAAGGGUCCCAGCUGGUAGCCUCCGAAUUCUCCAUACUGCAGAAACCCAAUCUGCUCGAAAUCCUUGAAUGGUUUCCAGCUGCUCUUAAGAUGAAGACCAACAUUCUCUCCCUUCCCCUAGGUUUAAACACAUACUCCCUGCCUCGGGGGCACCAAGAGUUCCAGCCACACCAGCCUGGUCCAAUGCCUCCGCCAGGCACCGCACUUGCUCUUGCCUCGGGGCUCUUGCUCCUCCUGCUGCCUGCACAGCCCCCCACCCCACACCCAGUGAUCAGCUCCCAGUCAUCCUGCAGAUUUCAGCUUGGGUGUCACCUCCCAAGGGAAGCUGUGCCUGCCUCCCUAGUCGGAGCAGGUGUUUUCGUGGCUUCCUUCCACAAAGCACACCUGAGACCGUCUGUUUAGCAUUCUCUCCCCACAUAGACUGUGAGGCCCAUGAAAACAGGGAUCACACCCAUUUGUGCUCACUUGGGACUUACGGCUUCUAAUCCAGAGCCUGACACAAAGCUCAAUAAAUAUUUAA
Saimiri boliviensis boliviensis (Bolivian squirrel monkey) is the source of this 2441-nucleotide non-coding RNA. NCBI's taxonomy places the organism in Eukaryota, Metazoa, Chordata, Mammalia, Primates, Cebidae. The record is from RefSeq and is a predicted model, not a curated record.